CUACGGGAGGCACCAGUGGGGAAUAUUGGACAAUGGGCGCAAGCCUGAUCCAGCAAUGCCGCGUGAGUGAUGAAGGCCUUAGGGUUGUAAAGCUCUUUCGGCGGGGACGAUGAUGACAGUACCCGCAGAAGAAGCCCCGGCUAACUUCGUGCCAGCAGCCGCGGUAAUACGAAGGGGGCGAGCGUUGUUCGGAAUUACUGGGCGUAAAGGGCGCGUAGGCGGCGCACCAAGUCAGGCGUGAAAGCCCCGGGCUCAACCUGGGAACUGCGCUUGGGACUGGUGUGCUUGAGUUCGGGAGAGGAGAGUGGAAUUCCCAGUGUAGAGGUGAAAUUCGUAGAUAUUGGGAAGAACACCGGUGGCGAAGGCGGCUCUCUGGACCGAAACUGACGCUGAGGCGCGAAAGCGUGGGGAGCAAACAGGAUUAGAUACCCGGGUAGUC
This 439-nucleotide ribosomal RNA is filed under the name uncultured bacterium. Its description in RNAcentral is "partial 16S ribosomal RNA". It matches the Rfam family "Bacterial small subunit ribosomal RNA", at positions 339 to 795 of the family's 1533-position model. The record is from RNAcentral.